GACUACUGGGGUAUCUAAUCCCGUUCGCUACCCUAGCUUUCGAGUCUGAGUGUCAGGAUCAGACCAGGGGGCCGCUUUCGCCACAGGUGUUCCUGCCGAUAUCUACGCAUUUCACCACUACACCGGCAAUUCCACCCCCCUCUUCUGCCCUCAAGUCGCGCAGUAUUGAAUGACCCUUCCCAGUUAGGCUGGGAAAUUUCACAUCCAACUUACGCAACCACCUGCACUCGCUUUACGCCCAGUGAAUCCGGAUAACGCUUGCCACCUACGUUUUACCGCGGCUGCUGGCACGUAGUUAGCCGUGACUUAUUCAAGAGGUACCGUCCUAUCUCGUCCCUCUCAAAAGCGCUUUACGAUCCGAAGACCUUCAUCGCGCACGCGGCGUUGCUGCUUCAGGCUUUCGCCCAUUGAGCAAUAUUCCUCACUGCUGCCCCCCGUAGG
RNAcentral lists this ribosomal RNA (441 nucleotides) under uncultured Anaerolineaceae bacterium. Its description in RNAcentral is "partial 16S ribosomal RNA". The record is from RNAcentral. Lineage: Bacteria; Bacillati; Chloroflexota; Anaerolineae; Anaerolineales; Anaerolineaceae.